Small nuclear RNA from Cercocebus atys (sooty mangabey), 149 nucleotides. Its record names the gene U1. It matches the Rfam family "U1 spliceosomal RNA". Rfam says of the family: U1 is a small nuclear RNA (snRNA) component of the spliceosome (involved in pre-mRNA splicing). Its 5' end forms complementary base pairs with the 5' splice junction, thus defining the 5' donor site of an intron. There are significant differences in sequence and secondary structure between metazoan and yeast U1 snRNAs, the latter being much longer (568 nucleotides as compared to 164 nucleotides in human). The record is from Ensembl. NCBI's taxonomy places the organism in Eukaryota, Metazoa, Chordata, Mammalia, Primates, Cercopithecidae.
AUACUUACUUGGCAGGGGAGAUAUCAUGAUCACGAAGAUUUUCCGAAGGCGAGGUUUAUCUAUUGUAGUACGUUUGUACUGACCCCUGUGAUUUACUAUAGCUUUGCAAAAAGGCCACUGCAACCUUAGACAGAAAAUACAGAUUCUGU